RNAcentral lists this ribosomal RNA (468 nucleotides) under uncultured bacterium. Its description in RNAcentral is "partial 16S ribosomal RNA". It matches the Rfam family "Bacterial small subunit ribosomal RNA", at positions 28 to 507 of the family's 1533-position model. The record is from RNAcentral.
GACGAACGCUGGCGGCGUGCUUAACACAUGCAAGUCGAACGGAAAGGCCCUGCUUUUGUGGGGUGCUCGAGUGGCGAACGGGUGAGUAACACGUGAGUAACCUGCCCUUGACUUUGGGAUAACUUCAGGAAACUGGGGCUAAUACCGGAUAGGAGCUCCUGCUGCAUGGUGGGGGUUGGACAGUUUCGGCGGUUGGGGAUGGACUCGCGGCUUAUCAGCUUGUUGGUGGGGUAGUGGCUUACCAAGGCUUUGACGGGUAGCCGGCCUGAGAGGGUGACCGGCCACAUUGGGACUGAGAUACGGCCCAGACUCCUACGGGAGGCAGAAGGGGGGAAUAUUGCACAAUGGGCGGAAGCCUGAUGCAGCAACGCCGCGUGCGGGAUGACGGCCUUCGGGUUGUAAACCGCUUUCGCCUGUGACGAAGCGUGAGUGACGGUAAUGGGUAAAGAAGCACCGGCUAACUACGUG